AAGCAACGCGAAGAACCUUACCUAGACUUGACAUCUCCUGAAUUACUCGUAACUGAGGAAGCCCUUCGGGGCAGGAAGACAGGUGGUGCAUGGUUGUCGUCAGCUCGUGUCGUGAGAUGUUGGGUUAAGUCCCGCAACGAGCGCAACCCUUGUCGUUAGUUGCUACCAUUAAGUUGAGCACUCUAGCGAGACUGCCGCGGUUAACACGGAGGAAGGUGGGGAUGACGUCAAAUCAUCAUGCCCCUUAUGUCUAGGGCUACACACGUGCUACAAUGGGGAGUACAAUGAGAUGCAAUACCGCGAGGUGGAGCAAAACUAUAAAACUUCCCCCAGUUCGGAUUGCAGGCUGAAACUCGCCUGCAUGAAGCCGGAGUUGCUAGUAAUCGCGAAUCAGAAUGUCGCGGUGAAUACGUUCCCGGGCCUUGUACACACC
Molecule: ribosomal RNA, 433 nt
Filed under: uncultured bacterium
Lineage: Bacteria
Description: bacterial SSU rRNA
Rfam family: Bacterial small subunit ribosomal RNA
Source: RNAcentral